This 253-nucleotide ribosomal RNA is filed under the name uncultured bacterium. RNAcentral describes it as "partial 16S ribosomal RNA". It matches the Rfam family "Bacterial small subunit ribosomal RNA", at positions 524 to 776 of the family's 1533-position model. The record is from RNAcentral.
UACGUAGGGUGCGAGCGUUAAUCGGAAUUACUGGGCGUAAAGCGUGCGCAGGCGGUUAUGUAAGACAGAUGUGAAAUGCCCGGGCUUAACCUGGGAACUGCAUUUGUGACUGCAUGGCUAGAGUUUGGCAGAGGGGGGUAGAAUUCCACGUGUAGCAGUGAAAUGCGUAGAUAUGUGGAGGAAUACCGAUGGCGAAGGCAGCCCCCUGGGAUAACACUGACGCUCAUGCACGAAAGCGUGGGGAGCAAACAGG